GACGGAUCGGAUCGGCCAGACGGA
This 24-nucleotide non-coding RNA is filed under the name Arabidopsis thaliana (thale cress). The record is from RNAcentral. Lineage: Eukaryota; Viridiplantae; Streptophyta; Magnoliopsida; Brassicales; Brassicaceae.